RNAcentral lists this unclassified non-coding RNA (403 nucleotides) under soil metagenome. RNAcentral describes it as "partial contains 5.8S ribosomal RNA, internal transcribed spacer 2, and large subunit ribosomal RNA". The stretch from base 1 to 121 matches the Rfam family "5.8S ribosomal RNA", at positions 35 to 154 of the family's 154-position model. The record is from RNAcentral.
GAUGAAGAACGUAGCGAAAUGCGAUAAGUAAUGUGAAUUGCAGAAUUCAGUGAAUCAUCGAAUCUUUGAACGCACCUUGCGCCCUUUGGCUAUUCCGAAGGGCAUGCCUGUUUGAGUAUCAUGAACACCUCAACUCUCAUGGUUUGCCAUGAUGAGCUUGGACUUUGGGGGUCUUGCCGGCCUAUGGGUCGGCUCCUCUCAAAUUAAUCAGCUUGCCAGUGUUUGGUGGCAUCACAGGUGUGAUAACUAUCUACGCUUGUGGUUUUCCAUCAGGUAACCUUCAGUGAUGGAGGUUCGCUGGGGCUCAUAAAUGUCUCUCCUCAGUGAGGACAGCUUUUUUGAACGUUUGAUCUCAAAUCAGGUAGGACUACCCGCUGAACUUAAGCAUAUCAAUAAGCGGAGG